This is a non-coding RNA of Pseudonaja textilis, 427 nucleotides long. Lineage: Eukaryota; Metazoa; Chordata; Lepidosauria; Squamata; Elapidae. The record is from the annotation of a RefSeq genome assembly.
UCUGAAUGUGACAAUGCCAUUUUUGAAGUCUUUCAAAGAGUUUUGGAGGGUUAUUACCAUCAUCCUUUACCUGGAGAAAAUGUGGCUAUGUUCUGUACUCAUCAUCAUCAUCACUACACUUUUAGGGAGAAGCAGAGGACAAUCGGUGGACCAAACAUCUGGAAUUGUGACUGCUACUGAAGGACAGCCUAUUGUUUUCUAUUGUUCCUAUGAAGCACAGAUUGGUGGCUCACAUUACCCAUACUGGUACAUUCAGCACUCUGGGCAACCUCUGAAAUUAUUUUUGCCAUGGCAUGAGAAGAAUAUACAAGGCUUCCAUGGAACUGUCCAUAAAGGCAAGACAAAUGGAACUUUCAAUCUGCAGAAAGAUGCCAGUCAGCUGAAGGACUCUGCUGCCUACUUCUGUGCCUUCAGUGACACAGUGUGA